Molecule: small nuclear RNA, 107 nt
Filed under: Dasypus novemcinctus (nine-banded armadillo)
Lineage: Eukaryota; Metazoa; Chordata; Mammalia; Cingulata; Dasypodidae
Source: RNAcentral
GUGCUUGCUUUGGUAGCACAUAUACUAAAAUUGAAAUGAUACAGAGAAGAUUAGCAUGGCCCCUGCACAAGGAUGACAUGCAAAUUCAUGAAGCAUUCCAUAUUUUU